Molecule: transfer RNA, 72 nt
Filed under: Loxodonta africana (African savanna elephant)
Lineage: Eukaryota; Metazoa; Chordata; Mammalia; Proboscidea; Elephantidae
Rfam family: tRNA
About the family: Transfer RNA (tRNA) molecules are approximately 80 nucleotides in length. Their secondary structure includes four short double-helical elements and three loops (D, anti-codon, and T loops).
Source: Rfam by way of RNAcentral
CCCUGGGUAGUGCAAGUGGUUAACACGUUCAGCUGCUAACUGAAAGGUUGAAGGUUCAAGUCCCCCCAGAGG